CGGUUUUUCAAAGUGGGUGGCUUGCUCCACCUUUUUCUGCCCAUGAUCUGGUGGUUAUCUUCUAAUUUUAAGACCCAUUAUCCCCACACUAAAACUUCUACAAAUCUGGGUCAGUGAGGAGAUAUUGUUAUAUGAUGUACCUACAAACAACAAUUUGAAUCAUUAAUUUCAGUAAACAAAUUCGUGACACACGCCGUGACAGAGCAUAUUCCAGACGGGGAGGUACUAAUUUUGCAUAUAUGAAUGAAACACAUGUAUGCUGGAGCGUGGUUUUUCUGCCUACCAGUGAACAGAUCGAACAUUGGUGGUACAGGAAAUAAGGAAGCACCUGAGUUGCUAGUAAGUUGUAGCAAGUUCCUUUGUGUUUAGAAUUGUUAAAUUAACCAUAAUAUCUAAACUCAUACUUUCGAUCUUCAAAAUACUUUUGAUUUUCAAAAUGGCUGGUGUCAUAGGAGGAACUGGAAGAAGCAUUGGGACUGCAAGUAUAAGUUUAUUGGAAAUGAAGAGAUUAAAAUUGUGUCUAAACUAACUACAUAAACUAUUUCUGAAUAUUUACUUCAUUGUACAUAAACUUGUGGAAGCAUUGCAAGUUAGGAUAACUAACUUUACAUUUGAAGGAAAAUUAAAGAGUUAACUUGUGUUUGUAUAUGCAAUUGAUCUUAUGCACUCUUCUAAAAUUUUAUUUUGUGGUUAAGCAUUUUGAGGAGGCGUUGAAAUGCAUGUAAGUUCUAUUUGUUUUAAACUUUGAGGUUCCUUUAUGCCUAAUUAUGCUAAAUUAACUAGAUCAAACUCAUCUAUUUCUUUCAAAAUUUGUUUGAUGUUAGGAAAUUGAAGAAGCAUUGGGAUUGCCUGUAAGUUCAGGUUUGAUGAACAUGAAAAGUUUCUGCAAGUUAAUGAAACUAAACCAUGCCUCAAAUAUUGUUGGGAACCUCUACAAGUUGAAGAAAGUUGAUGUACGAUAUGCUUUUGGUGGUAUUAUCUUUGCCCUAGUCUAUUGCACUUCCGGUAUCUCAGGAGGACACAUCAGUCCCCACCAGUGACCUUCAGCUUACACAACCUUAUCUUCACGAAUCAUGACACCAACAUGCAAUGGGAAAGGUAAGGGAUUCUCGUGGACGUUUUUCGAAAAAGACACUGAUUCUUUAAAGAGCACAACAGCUUCCGGCCUUGCCAUUUAUGUGAAUUCAAAGCACGUGCACUCAGAAUCCGCUGAAAACACCAUGGGUCAAAACCGUAAAUUCACAUAAUUACUAGGUGAGUGUUAUCAACUCUAGGGAUUACACAGUCAGAACUCAAAAACGUUGUUGCUAUUUAUCGUUCAUACAUGAUCGCAAUAAUUACAAAUCCAUCGGAAUGAUGCUAUCUGAGCUGCGAAAAGUGGAGGAGAUGCGACUUCAAUGGGAUGAAGAAAGUUAUAUUUUGUUUUUACUAUUUUUUAAAAGAAGUUGUUGACCUGAUGCAUUCAUUAUUAUUAGAGAGGCGUAUCAAAGCAUGAUGUCAGAAAAGGGGAACUUGAGAAAUGGAAAGUUGGAUUCCUUUCGCAAGGGUUUUAAAGUUCUUGAAGCACUUGACCUCAUCAUAAGAAUUGUUGUGGAGAAGCACCAGAUUGAUUACCAACUCGGUGAUAUAAAGGGAAUUCUAGGGUUGGUGAUGACAUGAACAUCUAUGCGACAAUUGACGAUGGGGAACUGAAUUUUGAUUAUAGACAAAAAACGUAAGGCCUUUAUAAUAUUGCCACGUCAACAUAUCGAGUGGGGGUGAUCAGCUUGCAGCACAAAGAACACAUGUAUCACUUCUAAAUCUUACCAUGAUCAAAAUGUACCGGAUAAUGGAAACUUUUAUAAACUAUGCACUGUUUGUCAUAUUGGUUUUUAUUUUAUUAAGUUGUCACCGCAAACCAAAGGUACAGUCGGAUGAAGUAUUUGAUAUAUUCACGGGGGACAGAAAAUUUUAAGACGGUUGUUGAGCAGUGCUAUGGAAAGACGUUUGAACCUGCAUGAGAGUUGCUCGAGUUGGAGUUCAAAAGCCAUCUAAGAUGGCACACACAAGUUCAGUCUAUCACAUUAUCUUCACAUAGUUUGGUUUGCAAUAUGAUUAUUUAAAAUGGUUUUUACCGAGUUCUGUUCUGCUUUUAAGUUAUUGGUUGAUUA
This is a long non-coding RNA of Helianthus annuus (common sunflower), 2150 nucleotides long. RefSeq lists it as uncharacterized. The record is from RefSeq and is a predicted model, not a curated record. Lineage: Eukaryota; Viridiplantae; Streptophyta; Magnoliopsida; Asterales; Asteraceae. The transcript is spliced from 10 exons.